RNAcentral lists this long non-coding RNA (283 nucleotides) under Lathyrus oleraceus (garden pea). RNAcentral's name for it is "Pisum sativum (pea) long non-coding RNA (PSAT_LNC023835)". Lineage: Eukaryota; Viridiplantae; Streptophyta; Magnoliopsida; Fabales; Fabaceae. The record is from RNAcentral.
CAGAGAACCCAACGGGCCGGGUAUCAAGUGAGAGGAAGGAUGACUGAUCGUCAGUUUGAUAGGCCGCCUGUGACAUAUGCUUUUCUGUUUAAGAAGCUGAUGGAUCUUGGGUUGGUUCAGCCGAGGACGUUGGCUCCGGUAAGACCAGAUCAGAGGCCUGCAAGCUAUGAUGAGAACGCCAAGUGCGAAUUCCAUUAUGGUGCCUCUGGACACAAUGUUGAGAAUUGUAAAGCCUUCAAGCAUGUUGUCCAAGACCUGGUGGACUCCAAGGCCAUUAAUUUUG